GGAUGGAGAACUUUAAACUGGGUAUGGCUGGCCCCAAAAAGGCUCGAAAGCUGCUUGAGACAACAGGGUUUUGCAGGGAAUCCUUACAGGUUCCUUUCUGGUGACAUAAAAGAGCUCUUCACUAUGAGCAGACAAACAAGAGCGAAACCUAUGCCUCUUAGUGAUGAUAUUGGGCCUUAUGUUGUUCCUUUUCAACAUCAAACCGCUAACCAGUAUGGUAUGUUUUUUUAUUUAAUCUGCAAUUUAUGAUAAUUCUUUGUUAUUUACGUAUGGAAUUUAUUGGGAGGAAAUGCAGGAAAGAAUUCAUUUACGUGGUUUGGUCCAAGACCAAGGGCGAACAUUACGGACCCUGAAAAAAUAAGAGAAAUACUUAACAAAUUUAAUGACUUCCAGAAGAUACGUACCAAUCCUCUGCUUAAUUUGCUUGUAAGCGGCCUUGUUAACCUCGAAGGAGACCGAUGGAGCAAGCGUAGAAAAAUCAUAAACCCUGCAUUUCAUCAAGAUAAGUUGAAGGUAUAGAAUAGUGAUGGGUAAUCAGACUUUACAGAAAACAUCAUACUUAAACCUAUGCUUUUCUGAUUUAGAAAUAAUUGGAUGCAGAAUAUGUUGCCAGCAUUUUAUCAAAGUUGUAGUGACAUGUUAAGCAAAUGGGAGAAGAUGGUGUGUACAGAAGGAUACAGUGAGUUAGAUGUGUGGCCUUAUCUCGUAGAUUUGACAAGAGAUGUGAUUUCCCGAUCUGCUUUUGGAAGCAGCUUCGAAGAAGGCAAACGAAUUUUCCAAUUACUAGAGGACCAACUCGUUGUCACAAUCAAAUUAAUACAAACUGUUUACAUUCCAGGAUGGAGGUAACCGUCAACUUAGUUUACUUGAAAAUGGUUGCAAAUGUUGGAAUUGGCUAAAUUCGUGUUUGUUUUCUUGAAGGUUUUUGCCAACAAAGACAAACAGGGAGAUGAAGAUGAAACACAGAGGCAUAAAAGAGUCGCUUAGGGAAAUGAUAAAGAGAAGGGAGAAGGCAAUUAAAGCAGGGGAAGAGAGCAAUGAGGACUUGUUGGACAUACUUGUGGAAUCCAAUAUCAGAGAAAUGGAAGCAAAGAAUAUGGGGAUGAGCAUUGAGGAUGUGAUUGAGGAAUGCAAGCUGUUUUACUUUGCUGGCCAGGAGACCACUUCGGUCUUACUGGUGUGGACUAUGGUUUUAUUAGCAAGGUAUCCCGAUUGGCAAAGUAAAGCAAGAGAGGAGGUUUUGCAUGUUUUGGGUGACAGUAAACCUGAUGCUGAUGGCCUUAAUCGUCUCAAAGUUGUAAGUCCCUAGCAUGUCUUUUGAAGGUCCGAUCAAUGAGGUCGACAACUCAAAAACUUUGUUUCUUUUUACGCUAAUUCUACAGGUAACAAUGAUAUUGUACGAGGUUCUAAGGCUGUACCCACCGGUGGUUGAGCUAGGACGUUCCGUUCCAAAAGAAAUAAAACUGGGGAAUUUGUUGUUACCAGUAGGAACAGAAGUUUCGGUUCCGAUCCUGCAGAUCCACCAUGACAAAGAUCUUUGGGGUGACGACGCACGGGAAUUUAAGCCAGAGCGGUUCGCGGAAGGGGUUUCCAAAGCAACAAAGAGUCAAGUCACGUUUCUGCCAUUCGGAUGGGGUCCUAGGAUCUGUAUUGGCCAAAAUUUUGCUUUGAUGGAAGCCAAAAUGGCGAUGGCUAUGAUUCUCCAACGCUUCUGGUUCGAGCUUUCCCCUUCCUAUGCUCACUCUCCUUACAGCAGGGCAACUCUUCGUCCACAGCAUGGUGCACAGAUAAUUUUACAUAAACUUGGCUGUAAUUGAAUUGUUAUGUAAACAAAUCUUUGUGAAAACAUAGCGUUUUAGUGUAUCGUCAAAGUCCGGUAUCUGUAAUGGUACAAAUUCGAUGAAUGAAUAGUAAAUUUUGAGAUGUUUGGUGAAGUCCGAAAUAAUAUGCAGAAAUUGAGCGUCUGUGGUGGACAUAGUUGAGGGACUAAUGUGGUAAUUAUCAAUCAAAUAAUUCGGUACAAAGACUUAUAUGGAAAUUAAAGCAGGGGGAGUUGAAAAUGACUACUCUGCUUUGGGCAUCAAUUUAGAAAGAUUUAAAGUUCAAAUGUGUUAUUAGUUAAGGGAUUUGUUUUAAAGAGGGAAUGACAAUUAAACCUCAUGGUUGAUUUGUGCAAGGAACCGAUGAUGGGAUGAUUAUUCUUAGUGGUAAAAAAAACCAUUAUGGAGGUUAUUACACUUGUUAUCAUCGGCUUAAAAUUCGAUUGGGUUCAGGUCGGAUUAUAUCGAGCUUGUAAGAUAGUUCACCGACCAAGUUUGCAUAAUAAAAUACCUAAAUGAAAAAAAUUUCUAUUUUAGAGGAACCAGAGCCCCUACCAACUCCCGGUUCAACCACUAAACAAUAGCCAUAUCAUAUAAAUAAAUACCACCAUCUAAAAGACUAAAAAAAAACACUUAACAAAGGAUAAAUAGAUAGAUGUUGGAUAAGUGUCCAAAAUAUGAUCUAAGUGAAGAUACGUGGGGUAGGUGUUACGGAAAUGUGAAGACAAGAAUCCCACUAACGUAUGGGAUGUGUACAGUUGAAUGUAGGAAGCUAGUAAAAAAAUUUUUUUGGGUCAUAUAAUUUGUUUAGCAUAUAUUUUUAUAAUUUUUAAAUAUCAUUUUGGAGUUGAAUUAUAAUUUUUUUAUAUAUUAUCUUAAAAUUUUAAGGAGUUAAAACAAAAUUAUUUUAUUUUCAGAUGGUCAAAGUAGAGGUGAUAAUGGGUUGGGCUAUUCGGCCCGGCCUGACGAUUCACCCGAAAAAUAGGAGGGUUUAGGUAAAAAUAUAGGCUCGAAAUAUGGAUUUGAGCAAAAAAAGAGGCCCGUUUAGAAAAUGGGCUAGGCCUCGAGUAAAAUUUUUUGGGCCCAGGCCUGACCUGAAUUAUAUAUUAAAUAUAUAUAUUUUAUUUUUAAUCAAAUAUACUUUUGUUUUAUUAUUAAUUUGGUUAUUAUUUUAGUUCUAAUUUGUUUCAAUUUUAAUAUAACCAGUUUUUAUUAUAUUUUCAAUUUGUGUAUUGUUUUAAGAAUUGUUUUAGUCUCAUUAUUUAUUUAUUUUUUGUUUUAAUAUUUGUUUUAAAAAUUUUUAUUUAAUGAAAUAAGCUAAAAAAAUUAAUAUGGGCUGGGCCAGGCCAGGCUCGGGCCUAGUAAUUUUCUUUUGGGCCGGACUUAGAUAAAUUUUUAAGUCCAUAUUUUGAAUUGGGUCCUAACCUAAAAAAUAGACCUAAAAUUUUAUAUGGGCCCAGCUUGAACCCGACUUGGCCCAUGAUUACCUUUAAGUCAGAGCUAUCCUCGUUUUGCAUUUCUUUGAGAUUCAGCCUUAUCUACUAUUGAUUGCCCUCUCAAUUGAGGUUUGAGUAGAAAGAUUUGGUGAAGCAAGCUAAGCUAUCAAUCAAGGUUUGCAUAAUUAUUUAAAUGUAAUUCUAAUAUUAAAAUAAUUUUUUUUAUUAAUAUAGUAUCAACAAGCAUUAAAUGUAAUGAUCAUAUACUAUUACAUUUUCAAGAAGAGAAAACAUGUUUGAACUUUAAAAACGACGUUACUAAAAACAUUAUCACAAAUCUUGAAAUAUAAAAAAUAUUUUUUUAAAUAUAAUAAAAAAUUAAUUUUAAACCUGAGCUGAAUAAAAUUCUAAUUUUAGUUAAUGAUACCAACAACAAAUCAAUAUUCUAAGCCCGAGCCCGGCUCAUUUUUUUAAUAAACACCAAAAAUUUAUUUUGAAAAUAAAAAAAGUAUUUUAAAAAAAUUUUAAAAUUAAAAGAAUAAAAAUAUAUAUUUAUUAUAUAUUCAGGCCGGGCCGGGCCGGCCCCGGGCCAAAAAAGUGGUGCUCGAGACCCGACCCAUUGUCUAAAUGGGCCUCAUUUUUGCCCAAACCCAUAUUUCGGGCUUAUAUUUUUACCCGAACCUCUCAUAUUUUGGACGGAUCGUCGGGCCGGACCAGGCCGCCCGACCAUGAACACCUCUAGGGCAAAGUCACUCAAUGAAUGCAUGGAAAGAAAGAAUGCAACUUGGUGACAGCUUUUGUUGGAGUUAUAUGCUUUUUUUUACAUAGUGGAACUUUCUGUGGAUUUUCAAGUUUCAUGAACUUUAUACCCUAUGCUUUACGUGAAAAAAAUCAUUGGACUUAAAAGUCUACCAAAAGUUUCACUAUAAUAAAUAAAUAAAUAAAUAAAUAACAUUGCUACAAGACUACAACAUAAAGUUACAAUAAGAGCUUAUAACUCAACAAAGGCUAUCAAUAAAUAAUCUCAAGCAAGCUAAAGAGAAAUGUUGAGAGUACCACUCAAAUAGUGAUUGACUUUAAAAAUUAAAAACCCGAAGUUAUAAUAUCCCAAACGAAAUCAAACCAUAAACAUUAAAUUUUUCGAGUCUACUAGAUACUGUAAAAAAUUCAGCUCCAACGGACACCAAAUGAACCUAUGAUUGAAGAAAAUACGAAAACUAGUCUGGCUAAAUCAAUCUGCCAAACUUACUUUUUAUCUUAUCUUUAAUUUGCUGUGAAAUUCAAAACUACGUGUAAUACCCAAUUUAUGCCCGGCCCAUUUUGUUAAACCAAAUAAAAAAGAAAAGAAAAACAAAAUAUUUAAAUUUAGCCCAAAUGUCCAUUUACACAGCCCAAUUACAAUUGCAAAUAAAAAAAAACUAAAACUAAACCCGAUCCUAAGCAUCAGCCCAAAUUCGACCCAUGCCCAAAACGAAUUCAGAUGCAGAAACCCUAGCCCAGCCUCAACGCAAGAAAAAGUCGGAAGCCCUAAUGGUUGGUGCGCCGCUCCUGUAACAGCCCGAUUUUGGGUCUAGUCGGAACAGUGGUUUUGGGACCACAAAUCCGACGAGAAAAAAAUGUAAUGGCCUGAAUUUUCAGAGGUGUCGGAAUGGUGAUUCGAGAUCACUAAAUUCGAAAAAUGGGUAGAAAAUAUUAUUAAUUUAGUGAGUAUAAGUUAAAUGUGAAGUUAGGAAAAUUUUUGAAAUAGUGAAUAGUACACUAGAAAUAAAUAUUAAAAUAAUUAGAAUCGAAAAUGAGGUAUCGAGACCUCGGGGAUUUUAAACCUAGCCAUAAAUAUUUAUGUAGUGUUAAAAAGUUAGUAUUAAAGUUUCGUUAAGAAAUUUUAAAGUUCCGAUAAUUAAUUGAACAAAAAGGACUAAAUUGUAACAAAUACAAAAUUAUGAGAAAUGAUUAAAUAGCUUAAAUGAUAAAAGGAAGAGGGCUUAAAAGGCAAAUAGACCCAAGGGCUAUUUGGGCUGGACGGCAAAGGCAUGAAAUCAGCAACAAAGUAAGGAGAAUUAAGGGCAAAAUUGGAAUAUUGCAAAAUUUACUUAAUAAAGUUAGGACCAAAGUGGAAUUAUCUAGAUUUCUCUUUAUUUUUCUGCAUUCUCAUUAGCAAAAACACCAUAGAAGGGUUUCCUUAAGCCGGUUCUUCCUAUUUUUACUGCAGAUAAGUUCAAUUCUUGAUUAUUUCUUGAAAAUUUUGUGUUUUUGUGACUUUUACAACUAGGCCCACUUAUUGUAUUCAUUAGUUUUUGAUUCUAUGAAAGAAUUUGAAAGUUGCUAUGAAUACAUGCUGGAAGUAUAUGAUGAUUUAGCAUGGAAUUAGAGCUUUAAAUUGUUCAUAUGCUGAUUUUAUUGAAAGAAUUGAAUAGAAAGUGAAUGUUUGGGACCUAAUAGUAAAAGAGUUUGAAGAUAGAGUUAUAUGUGGAAAUUCUGAGUUUCAAUAGUUGUGAAACAACUUAUAAUGUCUAGGUAAAUUAUUAAUUGAGAAAAUUAAAUUAAUUGAGGGGUUAAUUGAGAAAGGACCGAAUUGUAUAAACUGUGAAAUUUGGGGCAAAAAGGAAAUCAACAUUUUGCACUAAAGCAGUUUUGGACAGCAGCAGUAGUAUAAAUUUGAAAAAUCACCAAAAAUUUUGGGAAUUGAAUUAGAGGGUGAAUAAAAUAUGAAAUUAAAGCUUAUUGAGUCUAGUUUCUUAUAAAGGAAACGGUGUAAGCAAUGGAAUUGUAAAUCAUGAGAUAUAAUAAAUUUUGCGAGACAAUGUCAGAAUGAUUUCGGGUUCCCCUAUUCUGACUUUGGAAAAUCAUUAAAAAUUGAAAAAAAAUUAUGAGUUAUAAUUUAUAUGAUUAGAAUCCUUAAUGAGUCUAUUUUCAAAAUAAAUAAAUGGAAACGUCAUAAAAAUUCUGUACAAUUAGAUAAUUCAUUUUUAGUGAAGAGUGGUCGGAACUGUCAGACAGCAAAACAGGGGAAACUUUAAAGAAUAAAAUGUACUAUUUGGCUGAACCAAAAAUUCUGAAAAUUGUAUGGUAAGAAGGUAUGUGAGUCUAGUUUCAGGGAAAAUUAAGGGAUCUUAAUUUAGAGCUCUGUAGCUCCAGAUAAAAAUAAUUUAGUGACUCUAACUCGGAUAAACAGCUUUGAAUAUACAUGUGAGUGAAUAGUGAAAUUAUAGCUAGUGUUGUUUAAGUGUGUUAUACACAAUAAGGAUGUGGAAUGGAGAGGAGGAGGAGGAGGAAAAAUUGGGAAAUAUAUGAAUGAUUUGUGUAUAAUUGGUCAUAUGCUUAAUUAUAAUUGAUAAACGAUGAAAUAGAAAUGAUGCAUAUAUUUGUGCAGUAUUGGUCAUGGUUUAAGCUCAUGUGGCAAAAUAAAGUUUAUAGUACGGGUGUAUUGUAUUUUUGGUAUAUGAUUUGGCAUUAAGUAAUGUCGUGAAUGGGUAUUGAAUUAACACAUGUUGGAAAGUUUGAUUCAGCACGCGUCGAGCCUCCGCGCCAAAACCACGUGAGCCUUCGUACACUCCAACUGGCCUCCGUACCUGCAACAAACAAAAGUAGACAAAACAACAGCAAAUGAUAGGAAGAAAAGGUAGUAAAUAGUGAAGAUUUUUCUGUAAUUUUCUUUGGAUUUCAUUCUGUAUUUUCGGCUAUAAAAGAGCCAUUAGGAAUAUUUGUAAAGGAGUUUUUUUUUUACCCUCACACACAAAGAGAAUAUACACGCAUACAAGAUCAAUAUAGAGAAAAAAAUAAAAAAAAAUACAAAGAAUAGAAAAUCAAGUUUCGAAGGUGAUUCUUUGAAAAAUCCUUUUCGUUUUUCUCCUUUUUCCUUUUUCCUGGAUCUUUUGUUCAUUUCAAGUAAAAAAAGUAUAAAAAGGAAACAAGUUUAGAGGAAGGAGGUUUACCUGGACGCCGGACCUCGCUCGCCUCGUCGAAAUCGAAGGCUGAGAGGGGAUAAAUCGGUUUUGCGACGGAAGGAAAGGGGGCUAGGGUUCUUCUUUUAAUUUUAAAAAAAAAAUAGAAAAUGUUGCUAAUUAGGUUUUAAUGGGGGGAUUUAUGUGUGUUAAAAAAACGACGUCGUUUAGCGACCUUUGACCCGCGCGGUGACCCGACCCGAGGAAAGGAUCCGCGCGUUUUGGGUCUGAUGGGUUUAUUGCGCAACAAGCCCUUCCGCAUUUGUUUUUCGUUUCAAUCCGGUUUUUAUUUGUUUUUUAAUUGCUCUCUCAUAUUUAGUUCCAAUUUCAAUUGGGUCCAUGAUUAAACGACAUCGUUUUCAUUGAUUGGGUUUGAAGGCCUAGUUUUGUGCGUCUAAAUUGCAGCAAUGGUCCCCCUGAUGUGCAAUGGUUCUCGAUUUAGUCGUCUCCACACUUAUUUCAAAGUCGUCCCUGAGAUUUUGUUUUAUUUUUGAAAUUUUCCUUGUCUUCUUUUAAUUUAUAAUGCUAUUAUUAUUAUUAUUAUUAUUGUUGUUGUUGUUGUUGUUAUUAUUACUAUUAAUAUAGGUAUUGUUAUCGUGUUAGUUUAUAUCUAUUUAUUUACUUUUAUUUUAUUAUGUAUUAUUAUAUAAUGCUUUUAUCAUGUAUCAUUUUAUAUAUUUUCUAUGUUAAUCUAAUAUGAUAUAUAUAUAUAUAUAUGUAUUUUUGUGAUCUUAUUUUAUAAUACUUUUUUAACCCAUUUAUAUGCCUUUAUGUUUUAAAGAUUUAUAAUAUUUUGAGCAAAACUAUUAUAUAUAUAGAUAUACAAUUUAUAUUAGACCAUUUUUAUCGUACAUAUACGUAUAUAUAAUUUAUAUUUUGAAACCCUAUUUUAUUAUAUUUUAUGCCUCUAUAUACAUCAUUAUAUGUUUAUUAUUCUUUAUAUUAAACCUGUCAUUUCACUUAUAUAUUUUUAAAACCAAUAUGUAUUAUUCUUUCUUCCUUGUUAUUUUUUAUCUCUUAAAAUAGAUUGAUAAUUCAUUUAAUUUUUGAAUGUUGUAUGACCGAGAUUAUCGUUGCCAUUCUUGUUCAAAUUUAUCCAUUGCUUGUUCAUAUUAUUUGAUAAUUUAUCGCUCACUAGCAUGUACCGUAAUUUACGAAUUAUCAAUUUGAAUUAUGUACUACCAUUCAAUCGCAUUACAUUUGUUUGGAAAACAUCGAAAUCGUUUUGCACAUAAACCUUCAAAAUGCUCGGUAUCCAAAAUUCUCGAGAGGAUUGUGUCCUAACUUACUAGGCUUCAAUUCUCCUUCUUGAUUUUAAAUAACCGAAUACCCCUUUUUCAAUUUGAACAUAGAAAUUCCAAAAUAAAAAAAAACUCAUUCUCGGGAAUUUGAUGCGUUGUGUCCUAACGUAUUGGAUAUGACAUAUUUUUCUCGAGACGAGGAUUUUUCUAACAAAUAAAAAUAAAGACAAUAUUUGAUAUUUAGGAAUUUUGUGAAAUCGAAGCCUAACUUACUGGGUUUUGAUUUUUUCAUUUGACCCAAGUCGGAUAUCCUUCUCAAAUGCAUAGAUUUUAAAAAAUCAAAAGAUAAACUUAAUUUCGAGGAUUUAAAAUGUUACACUCUAACUUACUAAGUGUGUCAAUUUAUUUCUUUGAAAUAAGUGAGUUUCAUCAUCCAAUUUAUUUUAUUCAAAUAUUCUUUUCCAAGGAUCGUAUUUUAAAAUCUUUUCAAAAUUUCGACAUUAAGACAUUAAACAAUCAAUUCGGUACCAAUUUUGGGCGUCACGAGGGUGCUAACCCUUCCUCGUGCGUAAUCGACUCUCGAACUUGUUUUCUCAAAAUUCGCAGACCUAAAAUUAUUUUCAAGGUGAUCCGAUUACACCACAAUAAAAUAUCGGUGGUGACUCCCAUUCCUAUUUUAAAAGUCGAUUCCCGUUUUUCAAAUAUAAAAAAAUGGUUUCGACACUACGGUUUUGUUUGUUUCACUUAGAACAACUUUCAAAAAGUUAAUUUUGAAAAAUGGAUUGAAUUUUCAAAAUAGAUGAUAUUUUAUUGUGUUAAAAUUUUAUUCGUUGUUUGAAAAAAAAAUUUAAAUCAUUUUCUUAGAAUUAUUUUUAGUGAAACAAAUAUAUCAUAAAUAUAUUUGUUAUAAAAUAUUAUAUUAAUAAUUUUUUUGACAAUUAAAAUAUAUUUUGUGAUAAGGUAAUAUUUUAUAAUAAUUAAUAUCAUAUAUACUUAAUAAUAAAUCAUGUCUAAUUAAAAUUUAAUUUCAAUUAAAUAUAUUAAUAAAGCUACAUUUAAUCAUAUUUUAUAUAAUUAAAAUAUUAAUAUAAAUAUUUUUCAAUAAUAUAUUAAAGAAUAUUUAAAAUUUAAAUUUAUUAUUACUAAGAUUAAUUAUUAAAAUAAAAAUGUACUAUUAAAUAAUUUAUCCAAUGAUAAGUUAUAUUGAUAAUUUAUUAUAUUAUUAAAUAUAAAUAAUUCAAUAUGUAUGUUUAAUAAUAUUAUGUUAUAAUAUUUAUUACUAAUAUUUUAAUAUUUUUAAACAACCAUAUUUUAAAGAUGGUGGUGAUGGUGAUGGUGCAGGCCCCCUUGUUACAAUUACAAUAUUUUUAAGUGGGAUGCAUGUAAUAUAUUGUUAGGGUUUUAGAGUGUGUCGUCUUUAAAAGGGUUAAAUUAUAUAUUUAUAUAAUAUGAUUAUUGUUUAUAAACAUAAUAUUGUAGAUAAGUUUAUAUGUAUGUCAAUAUGUAUCCUACUCUAGGGUUAAUAUGUAUUUUUUAGAUGUGGGUUCACCUAUAUAAUAGUAUGAAUCCAUCAUGCGGUCUCAUGAAAUAUACAAACACAUAUCGUGCUAACACAAAGUACGAACAAUAAAAAGUACAAAUCAAGACCCAAUUGAAUAAUUAAAUAACGGAUAGGUAAUAAUGAAUAUCAUAACAUUCACUAUCCCCUCUUUUCCAGUGAGUUAUUGUUUAUGAUAAAUUUGCAACAAAUGUUUUUAUCAUUAUUUUGUUGGUAAAUGAUAAUAAGCUUAAACUUUACUUUCUUAAGCUCCUUCAAUUCUUUGGACGUUAGCGAGUAAACUUGAGCUUCAGCAUUCCACAAACACCUUAAUUUGAAGACACAGUUCUCUCAUACUAAAAACGACAUGGACGUUUACCUUGUAAUUAGAGAUUUGGGCUCAUUGUUGGGUUAUUAAUGAUACAGGGAUGGAGAGCUUUAAACUGGGUAUGGCUGGCCCCAAAGAGGCUCGAAAGGUGCUUGAGACUAGAGGUGAUCAAGGGCCGGGUUAGGCCCGGUCUAGAAAAAAAUUUAGGCCCAUUUUUUAGGCCUGAAUUCGGCUCGGCUCAAAAUAUGAGCUUAAAAAUUUGUCUAAAUUCGGUCCGAAAGAAAAUUGUUAAGCCCAAGCCUGACCCAUAUUAAAUUUUACAACACCAAAAAAGUAUAUUUAAAUAAAAAUAAAAAAUAUAUAUUUAAUAUAUAAUUCGGGCCGGGCAGAACUCUGGCAAAAAAAAUUUUACUCGGGGCUGGUCUGUUUUCUAAACAGACUUCGUUUUUUUGCCAAAAUCUAUAUUUUAGGCAUAUAUUUUUACCCGAAUCUUCCUAUAUUUUGGGGUGAGCCGUCGGGCCAGACUGGGUAGCCGAACCAAUGAUCACCUCUACUUGAGACAACAGGGUUUUGCAGGGAAUUCUUACAGGUUCGUUUCUGGUGACAUAAAAGAGCUCUUCACUAUAAGCAUACAAACAAGAGCCAAAACUAUGCCUCUUAGUGAUGAUAUUGGGCCUUAUGUUGUUCCUUUUCAACAUCAAACCGUCAACCAGUAUGGUAUGUUUUUUUAUUUAAUCUGCAAUUUAUGAUAAUUCUUUGUUAUUUAUGUAUGGAAUUUAUUGGGAGGAAAUGCUGGAAAGAAUUCAUUUACAAGAAUUGGUCCAAGAUCAAGGGUGAACAUUACGGACCCUGAAAAAUAAGAGAAAUACUUAACAAAUUUAAUGACUUCCAGAAGGUACGUACCAAUCCACUGCUUAAUUUGCUUGUAAGCGGCCUCGUUAACCUCGAAGGAGACCGAUGGAGCAAGCAUAGAAAAAUCAUAACCCUUGCAUUUCAUCAAGAUAAGUUGAAGGUAUAGAAUAGUAAUGGGUACUCAAGACUUUAAAGAAAACAUCAUACUUAAGCCUAUGCUUUUCUGAUUUAGACAUAAUUGGAUGCAGAAUAUGUUGCCAGCAUUUUAUCAAAGUUGUAGUGACAUGUUUAAGCAAAUGGGAGAAGAUGGUGUGUACAGAAGGAUACAUUGAGUUAGAUGUGUGGCCUUAUCUCGUAGAUUUGACAAGAGAUGUGAUUUCCCGAUCUGCUUUUGGAAGCAGCUUCGAAGAAGGCAAACGAAUUUUCCAAUUACUAGAGGACCAACUCGUUGUUACAAUCAAAUUAAUACAAACUGUUUACAUUCCAGGAUGGAGGUAACCGUCUACUUAAUUUACUUGAAAAAGGUUGCAAAUGUUGGAAUUGGCUAAAUUCGUGUUUGUUUUCUUGAAGGUUUUUGCCCACAAAGACAAACAGGGAGGUGAAGAUGAAACACAAAGACAUAAAAGAGUCGCUCAGGGAAAUGAUAAAAAGAAGAGAGCAGGCAAUUAAAGCAGGGGAAGAGAGUAAUGAGGACUUGUUGGACAUACUUGUGGAAUCCAAUAUCAGAGAAAUGGAAGCAAAGAAUAUGGGGAUGAGCAUUGAGGAUGUGAUUGAGGAAUGCAAGCUGUUUUACUUUGCUGGCCAGGAGACCACUUCGGUCUUACUCGUGUGGACUAUGGUUUUAUUAGCAAGGUAUCCCGAUUGGCAAAGUAAAGCAAGAGAGGAGGUUUUGCAUGUUUUGGGUGACAGUAAACCUGAUGCUGAUGGCCUUAAUCGUCUCAAAGUUGUAAGUCCCUAUCAUGUCUCUUGAAGGCCCGAUCUCUGAGGUCGACAACUCAAAAACUUGGUUCUUUGUUUCGCUAAUUCUACAGUUAACAAUGAUAUUGUACGAGGUUCUAAGGCUGUACCCACCAGUGAUUGAGCUAGGACGUUCCGUUCCAAAAGAAAUAAAACUGGGAAAUUUGUUGUUACCAGCAGGAACAGACGUUUCGGUUCCAAUCCUGCAGAUCCACCAUGACAAAGAUCUUUGGGGCGACACCGCACGGGAAUUUAAGCCACAGCGGUUCACGGAAGGGGUUUCCUAAGCAACAAAGAGUCAAGUCACGUUUCUGCCAUUCGGAUGGGGUCCUAGGAUCUGCAUUGGCCAAAACUUUGCCAUGAUGGAAGCUAAAAUGGCGAUGGCUAUGAUUCUCCAACGCUUCUGGUUUGAGCUUUCCCCUUCCUAUGCUUACUCUCCUUACAACAUGGCAACUCUUCGUCCACAGCAUGGUGCACAGAUAAUUUUACAUAAACUUGGCUGUAAUUAAAUUGUUAUGUAAGCAAAUCUUUGUGAAAAUAUAGUGUUUUAGUGUAUCGUCAAAGUCUGUCUGUAAUGGUACAAUUCCGAUGCAUGAAUAGUAAAUUUUGAGAUGUUUGGUGAAGUCCGAAAUAAUAUGCAGAAAUUGAGUGUCUAUGGUGGACAUAGUUGAGGGACUAAUGUGGUAAUUAUCAAUCAAAUAAUUCGGUACAAAGACUUAUAUGGAAAUUAAAGCAGGGGGAGUUGAAAAUGACUACUCUGCUUUGGGCAUCAAUUUAGAAAGAUUUAAAGUACAAAUGUGUUAUUAGUUAAGGGAUUUGUUUUAAAGAGGGAAUGACAAUUAAACCUCAUGGUUGAUUUGUGGAAGGGAACCAAUGAUGGGAUGAUUACUCUUAGUGGUGAAAAAAAAACUAUUAAGGUGGUUAUUAUAGUUGUUAUCACCAGCCUAAAAUUUGAAUAGGUUCAGGUCGGAUUAUAUUGAGCAUGCAAGAUUAGUUCACGGACCAAACUUGUAUGAUAAUAGGUAUUCACAAAAAGAUAUCUAUAGUUUCCAACAAAGUCACAUGUGAGAUCGUGCAUUAGAACCGCAUAAACAUGUUUUAUGUUUAGAAUAUGAUAUGUGUCUAUGUGUAUAGAAUCUACCUAAUAUAUCAUAUUAAUGAAUAGUAUCAAUUGCGGAGCCAAAAAAUUAUUUGUGAGGGGUCAGAAUUAAAUUGUAUAUUUUUACAAAAAUAAAAAUUAAAUUUCACUAUUUUAAUAGUUUAUUUAUUUUUAAUUUUUAAAUGAUUAAAUUAAAUUUUAUAAAUUUUUAGGAUCAAAGUAUAAUUUUAUCAUUACUAAUUUAAAAUUUUAUAAAUUAUAAAAAGUUUAUAUGAAAAGUUUUCUAUUUUAGGGUGGCCAAAGCCCCUGCCAACUUCUGACUCGAUCACUUGCGGUUAGUUGGGUAAAGACUCAAGAAAAAUAGCGGUGUGUUUGGAUGGACAGUGUGUUUACUUGCGGUUAGUGUAAAAAUAGCAGUGGCGGUGAGAUUAGAUACUAUAGCAACACUGUAGCGUGAGACAAAAAGUAAGUUAAACGCACUGCACUGCACUUAAUCGUCUAUCUAAACUCACCAUAAGUGUCUAAAAUAUGAUUUAAGUGAAGAUACGUGGGGUAGGUGUCAUGGAAAUGUAAAAAAAAAAGAAUCCCACUAAUGUAUGGGAUGUGUACAAUUGAAUGCAGGAGUGAAUCAUUUGGGUAACAUUUGGACAAGAAACAUAAUGAACAAAAUGAAAGGAGAGGAAGCUAGUAAUAAAAGAUUCUUUUGGGUUAUAUAAUUUGUUUGGCAUAUAUUUUUAUAAUAUUUAAAUAUCAUUUUGGAGUUGUUGAAUUAUAAUUUCUUUUUAUGUUUUAAAACAUAGUUAUUCUAUUUUUAGAGGUCAGAGUAGAGGUGAGCAUGAGUCGGGCUACUCGGCUCGGGCCGAAGGCUUGCGCAAAAUGUGAGAGAUUUGGGUAAAAAUAUAGGCCCGAAAAAUGAGUUUAGACAAAAAAAAUAUAAGGCCCGUUGAAAAAACAGGCUAGGCCUUGGGUAAGGCAUUUUGGCCCCAGACCCGGCCCAACCCAAAUUCACUAAGGGCACGUUUGGUUCGCUGUAUUGGAAUAGAGGCGUAAUGUAAUAGAUGCGUAAUGGAAUAGAGACGUAAUAGCAAAUCAAUUGUUUGGUUGAAUGUAAUGGAAUAGAGGCGUAAUAGUAUUCUUAUAUUUGGUUGAAUGGAAUAGAGGUGUAACAGCAUAAGGAAAAAAGUUAAAAUGACUAGAAUACCCUUAGCAGAAAUUUGUUUAGAUAAAUGAUUAUUGUUAUUGUUAUUAAAUUUUAAUAAGAUUAUUAAUAUCAGUAAUAAAUAAUUUAAUCAUAUUUUAACAUAAUUAUUAUUAAAUAUAAUUUAAUAAAAAUAUAUAAUUUAAUAAAAUUCUUAAUAUUAAAUAAAAUUCUUAAUAUUAAAUAUUCUUAAUAUUAAAUUACUAAAAUCAUAAUAUAUAAUACUAUAAAAUAUAAUUUAAAUAAUUAUUAUUAAAUAUAAUUUAAUAAAAAUAUAUAAUUUAAUAAAAUUCUCAAUAUUAAAUAUAUUCUUAUAUGAAUUUACUAAAAUCAUAAUAUAUAAUACUAUAAAAUAUAAUUUAAAAUAAUUAUUAUUAAAUAUAAUUUAAUAAAAAAUAUAUAAUUUAAUCUAAAGUUUGAAUGUGUAUUUACCUAGCAAAAAUCAAUGAACUCUCGUGUAACUAUAACCUUAAUAAUAUAUGAUGUAUAAUUAAUAUUUCGUGACUAAUUAAUAGCAUAGAGAUAAAUACAGUAAUGACGAAUUUAUAGUAUACGAUUAAAAUGCUAAUAAUUUAUAGUAUACAAUUAAAAUAUUAUAAAUAAAAUAAUAGUAAAUGAUAUAUAAGAUAAAUUAACAUAUAAAUAAUUCAGAUAUGUAAAGAAUAUGGCUGAAUAUGGUUGCUCCAAUAAUAAAGGAUAUAUAAUAUAUCAUGGUGUUGUUUUGUUUAGAUAGUUCGGUAACUUAGGAGGGUAUGUAUGAAGAACACAAGUUGAUGCAGAUAGAAAGACGACAAUAUUACAUGAUUACAAUAUGAUAUAGUAUAUAUAUAUAAUUUAUGGAUUCCUUGCAAUCACGUGGCUUCUCUAGCCAUUUUAUUUAGCAUAUCCAGUGAUAUUAAGAUCCAGAAUUAUAAUACAACUAAAAUCUGUGCACACUUAUGGAUGAUCCAACAAAGCCUCAGUUGGCUUUAGGUUCCAAAUCUUGCAACCCACAAACCAUAUUUGCUGGCACUGCAACAUCAAUCAUCUUAGGAUAUGCCAAGUUAAGAUCUGUUGCACCAACAAAAACAGAGGAGAAAUUAGAAGGCGAUCCGAAAAAACCCAAGGAUGCUUUUUCUUUUCUUUUUUUUUAUAAUCUUUAUAGACUAGUUAUAUUGAGCAUCAACUUACUUUCCAUGAUGUUUUUGAAAGUCUCUUACAAAAAGGGUAUUCAACAAAUAAUAUAAUCAGACAUAUUGAUAGGACAAAUUGAAACUAGUAUUCUAUGAUCAUAAUAAAGAGUAAUCUUUAAUCAAAUGCGUGAAGGUAUUGAGAUGUCAUGCUUUUUCAUGAUUUCCUGUUUUACCAUGGCGAUGUUCAUUGGAAUAGUCCCAUCCAAGAGAAUCAAACCAAUGCUCAGCAAGAAAUGUUCAAUGCAUAUGUAAUUUUAAUUACAGAAGUUAUAUGCAGCUUAUAUGAGUUCAAGAUCAUAAAAGACUUCAUGGACAAAAGGAAACCCUUUCUUAUCACUGAAAUGAAAAUAGGCACUCUUAAUUUUCUAUUGUCAAAAGUAGCAAGCCAUUUUCCAAAGAAAAGGGAAGAUGGAUGGUUCCAGAAAGAAUACCUCAUCCUUUGUCAAGUGUGGAUUAUAUAGCAUCUCCUCUCCCACAGUGGUUACCNNNNNNNNNNNNNNNNNNNNNNNNNNNNNNNNNNNNNNNNNNNNNNNNNNNNNNNNNNNNNNNNNNNNNNNNNNNNNNNNNNNNNNNNNNNNNNNNNNNNAAAUCGAGCAAUCAUUUAUAUAUGUAAGAAAUGAUAGGAAUAAAGUUUUAUAUCUUACUGAGAAUCCUUUGUAGUCAUGAGUUGGAUAUAGCAAUGUCUCUUUCGGUAAUGUAAAAAUCUGGAUCCAUGAAACAAAUAAGUCCAUAAAUUUUAUUCAAAUUUUGACAAUUACAAUAAAAUUUUGAGAACUCAAAGAAUGUGACCAUAAAAAGUCCCCUGUCCUUACCUGUGAAUGCACUGACUUGUAGAGUUGCUGUGAACUUCCACCCUGCAAAAUGCAUUAAUCAGUGCUAGUCAAUGGCUACUGAAUGUGGGAGCAUUAGAGAAAAUUAUCUUAAAAACUUAAGUAUAACAAAAUUAGACAAUGACAUCCAGAUGGAAAGAAAUUGCCAGCAUAUAAGACCAGCAUUUAUGUACUCACGACUGAAAAUCCUUUGCAAAAAGUAUAGCCCUGAUAGUUCAAACUUUUACUUCAAGGAUGAUUUAAUUACUGAUUAGUUUACCAUGAGGCUUGUGAAUGACAAACACUUUAUGUGCAACCACAGUAACAAGGUAAGCACCAAUAAGUAGAAAACUAGACGAAUAGGUAACCAAGAGUUAGAGCUAAAACAGACAAACAGAGCUACUAUCCAAUGAGCUAAAACAUACAAACAGAGGUAUAUUUUAACAAUGAAAAUAAUCGAUUGCCUUAAACACCAUAUAGUGUUCCAAUCAAUCAAAUUAUAGCAGGCAUUAAAACCUUUCCCUUUCGUUAAUUCACAACUAUUAGCUUCAUUAAUCAAAUCCUAUGUACAGUUGAUCGAUUGAAAGUGUAACAUUUCAAAGACGAAAUUUAAACACAAAACUGGUUAACAUUGAAAUUACAUGUAAAUAUAACCUAAAAAACCAAAAAAUUAAUCAUAUUUUCAGAUUUCAGGCCGAAAUGGAAUGAAAUGAAAGGUAAAUCCAUUUUUUCCUCAAAAAAACAAAAAUAAAGAAAUAAUAUUUCAAGAACAGAUCAUUAAAUUCAUGGUAUAUAUAAAGAAAUUUAAUUGAAAUCAAAGGAAUAGAAGAAGGGAAAAGCGUACUUGGAACCAUUGCUGCUACUCUCUGUUACUCUGUUACCUCAUACGAUUCGUUAAAGGGUUGUUAGGGUUUGUUAAAGGGUUGGUCAGGAUAGAAGCAUGAAAAGGAGGGAGAAGGUUGGAAGGAAAUGGGAAGAAAAAUGAAAAAAAGAAGAAGAUGCUGCAACGGCUUGGAGGGUAAAAGAGGACCGAUUAGGUAAUCCUUUCUUUUCGAAGGGAUUACAAAUCGGCGCUGCAUAAGGGAAAAUGGGGAAUCGGUGCGCUGCGUAAUAGGCCCGUAUUAAGGCAAUACAGCCAACCAAACAGGGUAAUCAGUGGGGCCACGGAUUAGGGGUGUAUUGGCUAAUCCAAUACACCCAACCAAACAUGCUCUAAAGGACAAAAAAAUUUGAUUUUUUAAAUAUUAUUUUCUCUCUAUUUUGCUAUCAUUUUACUAUUAUGUUGCUACUAUGUUAUUGUUAUUUUUGGAUAUUGUAUAAAACUUAUUUUAUUGUUAAUUUUGUUAUUAUUUUAAAGACAUUUGUUAAUUUUGUUAUUAUUUUAGAGACAUUUGCUUGUUAAGUUGCAUCUAUCUUAGUGUUAUUUAAGUAUACAUAUUUUUUAAAAUUUAUUUUCAAUUUAUUGGGAAAUAUUUAUUUUGAUGUUUUUAGUAUUUUGGGUGUAUUAUAUAUAUUAAAAUUAUAUAAAAAUUAAUAUGGCCGAGCCGAGUCAGGUCCAGAUUUUAGCAUUUUUAUUCAGGUCGGGCUUGAGCAAAAUUUUAAGCCCAUUUUUUGGGCCAAACCAGGCCUGGGCUUAGCAAAUGGGCCUAAAUUUUUAGUCAAGCCCGACCUAAACCCGAUCCGGCCCAUGCUCACCUCUAGAUCAGAGCUGCCCUCGCUUUGCAUUUCUUUGAGAUUCAGUCUUAUCUACUGUUGAUUGCCCACUCAAUUGAGGGUUGAGUAGAAAGAUUUGGUGAAGCAAGCUAAGCUAUCAAUCAAGGUUGGAGAAAGCUUAGGAGGUCACAAUGCAUAAUUAUUUAAAUGUAAUUCUAAUAUUUAAAUAAAAUUUAUUAAUAUAGUAUUAACAAGCCCUAAAUGUAAUGAUUAUAUACUAUUACAUUUUUAAGAAGAGAAAACAUGUUUGAACCUUAAAAACAUCAUUAUUAAAAAUGAUAAUUAAAAAUUUUAAAAUAUAAAAAAUAUAAUUAAAAAUUAAUUUUAAACCCGAGCUGGAUAAAAUUCUAAUUUUAGAUAACGAUACUAAUAAGAAAUCAAUAUUAAAAUGAAAAUGAAAAGUAAUUUAAUAUAAUUUUUGAGUCUUGGGCAAAGGCACUCAAUGAAUGCUUGGAAAGAAAUAAUGCAACUUGGUGAUAGCUUUUGUUGGAGUAAUAUGCUCUUAUUAUAGUUUUAUGUUUUUAUCUUGCAAAAACAACAUAUUGGAGUUUUCGGCAUGAUUUUUUCUUAAUACUUUACAUGAAAAAUAAUAAUGGGACUUAAAAAUCUAUCAAAAGCUUCACCAUAAUAAUAAUAAUAAUAAUAAUAAUAAUAAUAAUAAUAAUAAUAAUAAUAAAUUGCUACAAUAUUACAACACAAAGUUACAAUAAGAGCUUAUAACUCAACAAAGGCUAUCAAUAAAUAAUCUCAGGCAAGCUAAAGAGAAAUGUUGAGAAUACCACCCGAAUAGUGACUGACUUUAAAAGUUGAAAACCCAAAGCUAUAGUAUCUCAAACUAAAUCAAACCAUAAACAUUAAAAUUUUCAAGUCUACUAGCUACUGUAAAAAAUACAGCUCCAACAGACACCAAAUGAGUCUUUGAUCGAAGAAAGUACAAAAACUAGUCUGGGUAAACCAAGCUGCCAAACUUACUUAUCUUAUCUUUAAUUUUGCAGUGAAAUUAAAAACUAAGUUUUUGUUUAUUUCACUUGGAACAACUUUCAAAAAAUUAUUUUUGAAAAAUGGAUUGGUUUUUCGAAAUAAAUGAUAUUUUAUUGUGUUAAAAUUUUAUUCGUUGUUGGAAAACUUUUUUUAAAUCAUUUUCUUAAAGUUAUUUUUAGUGAAACAAACAUAACAUAAAUAUAUUUGUUACAAAAAAUUAUACUAGUAAUUUCUUUUGACAAUUAAAAUUUAUUUUAUGGUAAGACAAUAUUUUAUAAUAAUUAAUAUCAUAUAUAUACGUAAUAAAAAUCAUGUUUAAUUAAAAUUUAAUUAAAAUUAGAUGUAUUAAUAAAGCUACUCCUCCACAACCCGCAUCCGCAACAGCACCAGCACCAGCACCAGCACCAGCAUCAGCACCAUGGGACAACUAUUGGGUUUCCUCCACCUGCCUCUAUCGCUCCUCCUCAGUAUUACCCCUAAGCCUACCAGACCGUGCCGGGUAUUCUACAAAUAUGAAAAAACCUUCUUCUCUUUUUAUUAGCUUAUCGAAAUGAAGGAUUUUGAGAUUUGGGCUUUUGUUAGAUGGAUGGUUAAUGAUAUUUUUUAGAUGAAAGAUACAAGUUUUUUAAUGUUUUAGAAGAAAAGGUGUUUAAAUAUUAGGAGUUUUUUAGCAGAGAAAGAAGAUAAAUAAAUGCAUAGAGAUACAUUAGCAAUAUUAUUUGGAUUUGGUUGUCUAAUGUAAUGAAGAAUUUUUUAAGGGUGACCUGAGUAGGUGUGGCAAGAUUCAAAGUUUUUUCUAUUAUAGCAGAUAUAUAUAUAUUAAUGGUUUAAGAAGACUAGAAGUCGGUUUCAAAGGAAGAUGAGAAAUAAAAGCAUUUAUAUAUAUGAUAUGUCAUUAAUUCAUAAACCAAAUAUAUAAAGUAUGUAAAAGUGUCAGGGGUUAAUCAUGGUGUUUUGACAAUCCGGUAACCUUCAACUUGAAGAAAACCUUAGGUUUCAAAAAUUUAUGUGAAGAGUUAGAAUGGUAUGCUUCAUGGAUCUGAAUAACUAGAACAGUGUAAGAGUGGUAUAUUGUGUCAAGUUUGGUUUCUUGUAUAUAAUUGUAUCGAAAACAAUGUUACAUGAGUUAAAAUGAAUGUUCAUCCAAUUUAACAAAGCCUGCAUUAUGUUGAUCAAAAUUUUUAAUUCAUGUUGAGGUUUCUUCCGUGAUAUCUUUGAUGUCAAGGUUAUGAUGUUGCUGAAGGGACACCUGUAAGAGAUAAGCUACGGUGCUGUGGCAUUGGAUUCGGAUGGUUCUUGUAAGUGUACAUAGUUUUCUUUGUUUUUAAAGAGUUCUUUACAUAUGAAGUAAAACAAGUAGCGACUUGAUGGAUAUGUCAUUAAGCUUUAACUUAAGCAAAUCAUUUUCCUUCAUCUCUAAUUGCCAUUUCUUUAAAAGAAAAAGAGGAAGUUUUGUAGUUUACAGUUUGGACAAAUGGAAGUUAAUAUAAUGCACUAUUUGGAUGGACUAUGGAGAUAUCCAAUCAUAUUGGAUGAGUUAUAAGAAACCUGUGAGUUCAUAUUGGGUUUACUUUAUAUCAUAAUUAGAUUGUUGAGCUGGCUGUCAGACUUAGAUGGUAUUUCACGUUGCUACAUGUUAAACUAUACCACUUUCACAUUCAUACGUGAAAUGGCUGGGAUUUAGUGCCAUUCUACUUAGCAGCCUCGUGUAAUACACAGGUGAAAUGUUUAUGUCUUCAUGUCACCUUAAAGUUCCCAUUUCCAUGACGGUAUUGUUAAGUAAAGACUGGUACAUACCCCAAAAUACGGAAAUUGUUUUGGAUGUAUACUAUACUUUACCAUGCAUGAUUUUUUACAAGUUUGCAUGGUAUUUUAUCAUUAUAUUGGUCUUUAUUUUCUAUACUCGCAGCUUCCAUUAAUAUAUUUUUAUGAAUUUUAUCAUUAUGCUGGUUUGAAGGUUCAUCAUUGGUUUCUUCAUUGGGGGCCAUCCCUGGUAUAUUGGAUUCUUUGUUUUACUUUGUGCAAGGAUAGACGACAGAGAGAAAGCAGGAUAUAUUGCAUGCACAAUUGCCGUGAGUAUCUUUUCUAUCAUUAUUUUUUUCUUUUCCAAUUUUAUGAAAGCCAUCCUUCCUGCCUUGUAUUGAUCAUCAAUUUAACCAUUGUAUAUAUGUAUCUUAUGUAUUUGUACCAUGCUUUAUCUUCAAUGCAAAUAUAAGUUAAACUACAAAGAUUGGAUUGUUAAAAAAAGUUUAAAAUGUUAAAAAAAUUGAAAAUUUUGAUUUUGUAAGAAUGAUAGAAAACCAAGGCCAGUGCUUGCAUAUGUUAUCUACUACAUGCACAAUCGGGUCGAUGUCUGUAUAUGUUUCAUGUUUAGAAAUCGUGUUCAAUUGGGUUACGAUAUGUACAAUUGAAGUGUCAAUUUAUAAUUUCCUUAUCAAGAUUACACAUUUUUUUGUUAAUAUUCGGAAUCACUCAAUGGUUAUAAACCCUGAUUGGAUACUGUCCACAAAGUCUAGUUGGAACAUCCCUUGUAUUCUUUGUCCUUUCUAAGAACUUUCCUUUCCAUCAUUCUCGCUUCUGUUUUUUUUUUCUUCCCUCUACUUUAAGUCAUUAUCUAACGUAGAUAUCCCUUGUAUUCUUUGUCCUUUCUAUGGCAAUCGAGUCAAUUGAUGGCAAGCCAAAAAAACAAAAAGAACAGCUAUCCUGUCUUACUCGAUUGCCAUCCCUCCUGUUAAACACCAUUAAGAAAAGGAAAAUUUUAGUUAAGCUUUAAAACAGCCAUGUUUUAACGAUGUUGGUGAUGGUGCUUGUGCAGGCCCUUCUUGCUACAAUUACAAUUAUUCUUAGUGCAACAAUUAAAGCUGGUGGGUGAUAAAGCACACCUCUUUUGACUGAGAGAUGUAUAGGUUCCCAAAUAAUAUGUAUAUGCUCCCCCCCCCCUCCCUUUAUUUUAUUUUAUUUCCAGUAAGUUAUUGUUUAUGAUAAUUUGCAACAAAUGUUUUUGUCAUUAUUUUGUUGGUGAAUGAUAAUAAGAUUAAGCUUUACUUUCUUAAGCUCCAAUUCCUUGGACGUUGGUGAUUUUUUUAUUAUAGUUGAGUCCUUGUAUGGUAUUAAUAUAAUUUAUGUCGCUUAAAAUUUAUAACUAAAAAUAUAAAAUUUAAAUUUUACUUCAAUUUAUUUGUAUUUAUAAAUGGUUAAUUCAAACUUAUUUUUUUCCUCAUUAUAUUUUAUAUUUAAAUUAACAUUUAAACUAUUUUUCAUUAGCAAUGUUGUUAAGAAUUAUAUUUUUUAGCACCAACAUCAAACUUACUAAAAUUAAAUUUUUAACUAUUUUAAAAAAAAUAUUUUUAGCUAUUUAUCAUCAUAGAGAAAAAAAGGUGACGUCACCACGCCUCAUGCUUCGACACCACAAACUAGACUCUCAUCACCUGUAUUUAUCAUCGAUUCAAAUUCCAGAACUACCUAAAAAUAUAUCUUCAAACUUCCUCUGGUUAAGUUCAUUGAUAGUCAACUUACUAUUAUUUCUAAAAAAAAAAACAAAUAAAUUGGUUAAUAGUAAUCUCAAUGAUUCAAUUUUAUUCUUACCAAUAUCUGUCCUUUAGAAAGGGGCUUAUAAAAGGGAUAGAGGUGAGUAAACUUGAGCUUCAGCUUUCCACAAACACCUUAAUUUGAAGACACAGUUCUCUCAUACUAAAAAAGACAUGGAAGUUUACCUUGUAAUUAGAGAUUUGGUUUCAUUGCUUGUUGUUGGGUUAUUAAUGAUAUGGGGAUGCAGAACUUUAAACUGGGUAUGGCUGGCCCCAAAAAGGCUCGAAAGCUGCUUGAGACAACAGGGUUUUGCAGGGAAUCCUUACAGGUUCCUUUCUGGUGACAUAAAAGAGCUCUCAACUAUGAGCAGACAAACAAGAGCCAAACCUAUGCCUCUUAGUGAUGAUAUUGGGCCUUAUGUUGUUCCUUUUCAACAUCAAACUGCUAACCAGUAUGGUAUGCUUUUUUUGUUUAAUCUGCAAUUUAUGAUAAUUCUUUGUUAUUUAUGUAUGGAAUUUAUUGGGAGGAAAUGCAGGAAAGAAUUCAUUUACGUGGUUUGGUCCAAGACCAAGGGUGAACAUUACGGACCCUGAAAAAAUAAGAGAAAUACUUAACAAAUUUAAUGACUUCCAGAAGAUACAUACCAAUCCACUGCUUAAUUUGCUUGUAAGCGGCCUUGCUAACCUCGACGGAGACCGAUGGAGCAAGCGUAGAAAAAUCAUAAACCCUGCAUUUCAUCAAGAUAAGUUGAAGGUAUAGAAUAGUGAUGGGUAAUCAGACUUUACAGAAAACAUCAUACUUAAACCUAUGCUUUCCUGAUUUAGAAAUAAUUGGAUGCAGAAUAUGUUGCCAGCAUUUUAUCAAAGUUGUAGUGACAUGUUAAGC
RNAcentral lists this long non-coding RNA (23497 nucleotides) under Gossypium raimondii (Peruvian cotton). RNAcentral's name for it is "long non-coding RNA (GRAI_LNC000894)". Lineage: Eukaryota; Viridiplantae; Streptophyta; Magnoliopsida; Malvales; Malvaceae. The record is from RNAcentral.